CAGUCGCCGCGGGAAUACGAAGGGGGCUAGCGUUGUUCGGAUUUACUGGGCGUAAAGGGCGCGUAGGCGGGCGAUUAAGUCAGGGGUGAAAUCCCAAGGCUCAACCUUGGAACUGCCUUUGAUACUGAUUGUCUUGAGUCCGGGAGAGGUGAGUGGAACUGCGAGUGUAGAGGUGAAAUUCGUAGAUAUUCGCAAGAACACCAGUGGCGAAGGCGGCUCACUGGCCCGGAACUGACGCUGAGGUGCGAAAGCGUGGGGAGCAAACAGGAUUAGAUACCCGAGUAGUCCCUGUCUCUUAUAC
This 301-nucleotide ribosomal RNA is filed under the name uncultured bacterium. RNAcentral describes it as "partial 16S ribosomal RNA". It matches the Rfam family "Bacterial small subunit ribosomal RNA", at positions 509 to 807 of the family's 1533-position model. The record is from RNAcentral.